This 75-nucleotide transfer RNA is filed under the name Staphylococcus aureus. RNAcentral's name for it is "tRNA-Gly". It matches the Rfam family "tRNA". From Rfam's summary of the family: Transfer RNA (tRNA) molecules are approximately 80 nucleotides in length. The record is from RNAcentral. Lineage: Bacteria; Bacillati; Bacillota; Bacilli; Caryophanales; Staphylococcaceae.
GCAGAAGUAGUUCAUCGGUAGAAUACAACCUUGCCAAGGUUGGGGUCGCGGGUUCGAAUCCCGUCUUCUGCUCCA